Onychomys torridus (southern grasshopper mouse) is the source of this 1524-nucleotide long non-coding RNA. RefSeq lists it as uncharacterized. NCBI's taxonomy places the organism in Eukaryota, Metazoa, Chordata, Mammalia, Rodentia, Cricetidae. The record is from RefSeq and is a predicted model, not a curated record. The transcript has 3 exons.
GGCUUCUUUGAUGGAGGCUUUGAAGUCGGUGGCUUUGAGAUUACUCUUCCUCUGUGACCUUGACCACCAGCCAUGAGAAUGUACACUGUCUGCAUCCCCAUGCUCUCUGGUCAAGAGGACAGCUAACUUUCCAGAGCUUCAGGACCCUUGGGAGACAUCCUACAAUUCCUGGGAGCAAACUGACAUUGGAGGACUUGUCAGACCCUGCCUGUCCUUACAUGACCCACAGAGCCUGUUUCUUGGGGCUGCCAGUUGACAACUAAGGUUGCCAACAGAAGCCAGUUGCUCUCUUCUGACAUGGGAACUUACAACCUGUCAUCUUUUGUUGUCUGUGGAGCAGAGCACACAGCCAAGCCAGCAGGGAGAGUCUGUCAUUGGAGUCUAGAUCCCAUUGAAAUGAUGUAAUGUAUUCACACACAUCAAGGAAGAGUAAUGAAUCCUUACCACUGCUACCCUUGCUCAGCUCCCAAAUAGUCAGGGAAAAUCACAAGGGCAGUGACAGGGAGAGGAAGGACCUAAGGCACUGUUUGUUUUCCCUAGGUCAAAAAAUCCAAACAACGAGAUGGAGAAUAGUGGCCACAAAAUGGGCUAUUCAUCCAUCAACACAUUUCCCAGCAUCCUGAUCGUCACGCCCUGACUUAGGGGGAGAGCCAAGCCCCUAGAUAUACUGGAAGUAGGAUACAAGAAAGUAAUUGAUUGAGAAGGUUACAAACAACUUGAGAUAGAGAGCGAGUGCAAAGGAUGCAAUAAUUAGAGCAGGGAAGGAUGAAAAAGAAGAUCCAGCAAAAAUCAAGUACGAAGUACAAGUCUCCCUGGAGAGUUGUUGCAUCGACAUUAGACUGAAUGGUCAACAAAUAACCAGUGAACUCAGCAAGAAAGUUUGAAUUAUCUGAAACUGGGGCGGGCUAAACAGACGCCUGGAAUUCCAGUGUCCAUUUGUCUAGGCCGCUCCUGGGUGACUGUCUUCUCACCUUCUGUCUGUGAGCUUCCCUUUGACUGGGCAAUGACAAGAAACUCUCGAUGGCAUCAGUUGGAGACACUUAGAGUCCUGCCAGGACCAUAUGAUAUGUUAUCAUUCAAGAAAGCCCUGGAGAGUAUGCUGACUCGAGGGUAAAGUCUUCCUCACAGAGAGCAGGUAUGCAAGUGUCCAGCUAUGAGGAGGGACCAGUGAAAAGAGGGUUUCCUGAAGGGUGAGGACAGGCUAGAGCAAAAUAGCUGUGGUGUCCACAAAAAUCUACAGAGAAACUGUGGGAUGGCCAGACACAAUCUUCUUUAGGAAGAAUAAGCCAGGAUUACACCUGUACACUUGUAGACAUUGUACAUUGUGGGGCCUCGAGCAUCACCUCUCAUUGCAAAGGAGAACUUACCCUGGUUGUCUAUCAUACAGGAGUAUUUGAGGCUCAGUUGCAAUGAUAUAACAAAGCUUAUGAUCAUGAUUGUCAGCCAAGUAAGAUACCUCUGACUUCGACCAAAAACAAUUUCAUCUAUCCUUGGCCUCUGAGACUGAUCUUAUCAGUUGUGAGA